Molecule: long non-coding RNA, 2588 nt
Organism: Mesocricetus auratus (golden hamster)
Lineage: Eukaryota; Metazoa; Chordata; Mammalia; Rodentia; Cricetidae
Exons: 3
Source: RefSeq, a predicted model, not a curated record
GGUUCCCGGGUAUUGAUUUCAGCUGUGUCCCUUCCUCCCUUCCUGUUUCCUCCUCCUGGCACAGAGCAGACAGAUUUCUUUCAUCUGGGUGGCUGUUCAGAGAUGGAAACAGAAGAACCAGAAGUGGGCAGCUAUGCGCUGCUCUUGUCCUCAGCUCAGGAGUGGUCCUCGCUGAGAGUCAAAGGAUUGAAGAAUGCAGGAUGUGCAGGGAAGGAAGACAAACCCCAGCCAUGCAUAACUAGCCAGCCAUGGUGCCUCAUACCUGUCACUCCAGCACACUGAGACUGGUUGGAAUCAUAACUUCAAUAUUGUGAAUACUGCUACAGUAAACACCAAUGUGCUGACAUCUCUGUGUUUUGUUGGUCUGGAUUCUUUCAAUCAUCUCCUCGUGUGGGACAACUGUUAGCAGAUUCUCCAUGGCCUCUUCACUACCAAAGAAAGGGACUGGAUUCUCACAAAAGCAGCUAAAGCACUCCCUGGAAUCGUUCGAUAGCUGAUGAUGAGAGCCCAUUAAGUGACCCUGCUCUGCCAAGGUGGAGACCCCAGUGAGACUACAACACAGAGGAGGUAGUUCUAGUCCUGGUUUCCUUUGGUGAUGCAGAAGUAUUAACUGAAUAAAUGUUUUCCUUGUCGUUUGGUCAUGGUGUUUCAUCACAGCAACAGAAACCCUAACUAAGACAGUAACCUUCACCUGACAAGUUCCUGGUGGACAAGGAGCUACCCAUUCAGAGUUAUGGGAACUUCUAGGACCCUUACUAAUCAAACAAUGGAAGUACGGGGGAAAUAAGAUAUCAAAGAAUAUAAAUGAACCACCGAUUGGAUUAUUAACCCAGGGCAAAAAACUGUGACUCAUUCUUUUAUUGUCAUUCCUGAAUGCCCCUAACCCUUCAAUGGGACAGAACCUCUUGAACAAGUUCCAGACAACAAUAACAUUCUCAAGAGACACUCCUAGGUUGCAAUUGGGAGGUCGUGCUGAGGCUUUAACUAUAACCUGCCCAAUAAGUGAGAAAUAACUGCUCCUCUGAAAUCCAACUGUUCUAUUGGUGUGAAGAGACACCAUAACCACAGCAACUCUUAUAAAGGAAAACAUUAGUUGGGGAUGGCUUACAGUUCAUUAAUCCAUUCUCAUCAUGGUGGGUGGCAAUGGCAGCAUGCAGGCAGACAUGGUGCUGGAGAAGGAGCUGAGAGUUCUACAUCUUGAUCUGCACACUUCAGAAGCAACUGUGUAUCACAUUGAAUAUAGUCUGAGCAGAGGAGACCUCAAACCCCAUCCCCACAGUGACACACUUCCUCCAGCGAGGCGGCACCUACUCCAACAAAGCCACCCCCAAUGAGGGGCUAUUUUCUUUCAAGCCCUGGAAGUUCCUACAGUUUGGGCAGAGAACACUCUUCAUGGCUUGGCAAAACAUGUGCCACCUGUUAUAGUGCAACUAACAUCUGGGGAAAUGCCCAUUCAAGUCAAGCAGUACCCCACCAGUUUGGAAGCUAGGAAGGGGAUUAAGGCAUCCCCUUGAAGCAGGAAUACAUAUUCCUUGACAGUUAGUCUGGAAUACUCCCUUGUUGCAUGUCCAAAAGCCUGGACCUGUUAUAGACCAGCACAAGAGUUGGGGCAGUGGUGACACACACCUUUAAUUCCAGCACCCAGGAGGCAGAGCUUCAUGAGCUCUAGGCCAGCUUGGCCUACAUAAAGAGUUCCAGGACAGCUAAGGCUACACAGUGAAACCCUGUUUUGAGAAAAAAACUUUCAAAGCAUUUCACUGCCUUACCUGUGCCCAGGUGAGUACUUCCCUCAGGACAAUUUUGGGAAUUGGACUUCAUUGAACUUAAGCCACCACUGUAUAGCUACAAAUAUCUGCUGGUCUUUGUUGACACUGUCAUGGACAUGUCAUGACAUGGACUAUUUCCAUUCUUAGUGGAAAUAGUUCAAGUAGUAGCUAAGAAUUAAUAAUGGAGAUUAUUUCCAGAUUUGGCCUACCCAUAUCUAUGGUGUCCAUGCUCAGGAAAGAUAGAGGAUGGAUAGAACUUUAAAGGAGGUUUUAACUAAAUGUAUUCUUGAGACUGCAGUACAUGCUGGACUAUUAUCAGAUUGCCCCACUCCAAUUUCUGAGUCCUUAAAAGGAUUGCAAUUAACCUUGGAUAAGGUUUUUCCUCAGAUCCAUACUGCUCAACUGAUUGGCUACCACCGAACAGACCACCCAUUCCUGCCUGGAGAUGCUGUAUUAGAUCAGCACUUCAAAACUGGUGACUGGCUUGAACCCAAAUGGAAAGGACCUUACACUGUGAUUCUCCACAUGCCUACUGCCGUUGAAGUCACUGGUAUUCCUGCCUGGUUCAUUACUUGUACCCCGAGAAGGCACCCGAGGAACCCUUGGAAGAGGAGCCCAACCCCAGUGGUGGAAAGUGACUGAAAAUGGACCAUUAAAAAGCAAACUCUCUAACUGUCUAACAUAACUUUAAGCAUUGUGUUAUUGCUGUUGGAGUCGACAUUGUUACUGUCCUGUGGCUAACAUUUUUAUUUUUCAACCUAUGCAAACAGAACCGAAGUGUAUCUUGAUGGGGGCAAAUAAAAGGUUCCCUAUCAUAGGAAA